UACGGAGGGUGCAAGCGUUAUCCGGAUUCACUGGGUUUAAAGGGUGCGUAGGCGGGCAGGUAAGUCCGUGGUGAAAUCUCCGGGCUUAACCCGGAAACUGCCAUGGAUACUAUUUGUCUUGAAUACUGUGGAGGUGAGCGGAAUAUGUCAUGUAGCGGUGAAAUGCUUAGAUAUGACAUAGAACACCAAUUGCGAAGGCAGCUCACUGCGCAGUGAUUGACGCUGAGGCACGAAAGCGUGGGGAUCAAACAGG
RNAcentral lists this ribosomal RNA (253 nucleotides) under uncultured bacterium. RNAcentral describes it as "partial 16S ribosomal RNA". It matches the Rfam family "Bacterial small subunit ribosomal RNA", at positions 524 to 776 of the family's 1533-position model. The record is from RNAcentral.